This 501-nucleotide ribosomal RNA is filed under the name Sympetrum risi. Its description in RNAcentral is "partial 16S ribosomal RNA". It matches the Rfam family "Bacterial large subunit ribosomal RNA", at positions 1819 to 2597 of the family's 2925-position model. The record is from RNAcentral. Lineage: Eukaryota; Metazoa; Arthropoda; Insecta; Odonata; Libellulidae.
GGCCUUUUGAAUUUAAUUUAAGGUCUGACCUGCCCAGUGAUGUAUUUAACGGCCGCGGUAUAUUGACCGUGCAAAGGUAGCAUAAUCAUUAGUCUUUUAAUAGAGGGCUGGAAUGAACGGUUUAACGAGGAACUGACUGUCUCAUUUUAUUUGUUUUAAAAUUUAAUUCUUUAGUUAAAAAGCUAAAAUUUUAUUGGAAGACGAGAAGACCCUAUAGAUCUUUAUAUAAUUUUUUAUACCUAUUUAUAAAUAUGAGUAUAUUAAAAUUGUAUUUUGUUGGGGUGACAAAAAUAUAUAAUUAACUUUUUCAUUUAUUUGCCAUUGAUAUAUGAAUAUUAGAUCCAUUAUUAGUGAUUUCUAGAACAAGUUACCUUAGGGAUAACAGCGUAAUCCUCCUCCAGAGUUCAUAUUUACAGGAGGGCUUGCGACCUCGAUGUUGGAUUAAGAUAAUAAUUAGGUGUAGCUGCUUAAUUUAUAGGUCUGUUCGACCUUUAAAUUCUU